AUCCAGCUGACGAGUCCCAAACAGGAUGAAACACGCGUCCUGGAU
This 45-nucleotide non-coding RNA is filed under the name Schistosoma margrebowiei. Lineage: Eukaryota; Metazoa; Platyhelminthes; Trematoda; Strigeidida; Schistosomatidae. The record is from RNAcentral.